CGGGAAUAUUGGACAAUGGGGGCAACCCUGAUCCAGCCAUGCCGCGUGAGUGAUGAAGGCCUUAGGGUUGUAAAACUCUUUUGUCCGGGAAGAUAAUGACUGUACCGGAAGAAUAAGCCCCGGCUAACUUCGUGCCAGCAGCCGCGGUAAUACGAAGGGGGCUAGCGUUGUUCGGAAUCACUGGGCGUAAAGCGCACGUAGGCGGAUUGUUAAGUCGGAGGUGAAAUCCCAGGGCUCAACCUUGGAACUGCCUUCGAUACUGGCAAUCUCGAGUUUGGAAGAGGUUGGUGGAACUGCGAGCGUAGAGGUGAAAUUCGUAGAUAUUCGCAAGAACACCAGUGGCGAAGGCGGCCAACUGGUCCAAUACUGACGCUGAGGUGCGAAAGCGUGGGGAGCAAAC
This 400-nucleotide ribosomal RNA is filed under the name uncultured bacterium. RNAcentral describes it as "bacterial SSU rRNA". It matches the Rfam family "Bacterial small subunit ribosomal RNA", at positions 356 to 773 of the family's 1533-position model. The record is from RNAcentral.